CUUACCUUAGUUUAAUAAGAAUACAGGUUUUGGGGAUCUUUGGUCUCUGUGUAGAGAGGUUUGA
RNAcentral lists this transfer RNA (64 nucleotides) under Rhabdotobothrium anterophallum. RNAcentral's name for it is "tRNA-Pro". Lineage: Eukaryota; Metazoa; Platyhelminthes; Cestoda; Rhinebothriidea; Rhinebothriidae. The record is from RNAcentral.